Long non-coding RNA from Neofelis nebulosa (Clouded leopard), 596 nucleotides. RefSeq lists it as uncharacterized. Lineage: Eukaryota; Metazoa; Chordata; Mammalia; Carnivora; Felidae. The record is from RefSeq and is a predicted model, not a curated record. The transcript is spliced from 3 exons.
AGUAUUCUGGACAUAUGGCCACUUCUUGAACAAAUCCAGAGAACAUCCUCUGAUAUACCUAUAUGUGUUGAAACCAGGUUCAGCACUCUGCUUCAAUUCCCCAGCAAAUGCCAGUGUGGAAAAAGGUUUUGUUGUCACAGCAUCCUGAUGCACCGUACAAUUGAUGGCCUUCUGCAAUCAGUAUGGGCCAGAAGCAGCCCGCACAUAGUUGUCUUUGCCUCCGCAUACCCAGCCUUGGUCAUUGCUGGUGAAGUUUGCAUUUUGCCUGAGCUAUGUGCAUUGUUGGGACUAUGUGUGAGCCCAGAAAAUCAUGAAAAUAGAGCUGGAAAUUUGCUCCUAGAGAAAUGAUCACACUUCUUGCAAAGCCCCAAGGGCUUCAUGGACCUAAGGAAAGAAAACUCCCCUACAGCCGUCCUAAUGGGUACGAGCAUGACCUCAUCCUAACUAAUUGCAUUUGCGAAGAUCCUAUUGGCAAGCAAGGUCACGUUCUGAGGUUCCAGGAAGGACAAGAAUUUGAAGGUAGGAGGGACUCUAUGAAACCCUGUCCUGUGGUAAAGAGGCUUUCCCUUAGGCAGAGUGCGAUUAAAGAGCACAGU